This 332-nucleotide ribosomal RNA is filed under the name uncultured bacterium. Its description in RNAcentral is "bacterial SSU rRNA". It matches the Rfam family "Bacterial small subunit ribosomal RNA", at positions 568 to 898 of the family's 1533-position model. The record is from RNAcentral.
UGUGUAGGCGGCCGCGCAAGUCGGAUGUGAAAGCCCCGGGCGUCAACCCGGGAAGUGCACCCGAAACUGCGUGGCUCGAGUACCGGAGAGGUUGGUGGAAUUCUCGGUGUAGAGGUGAAAUUCGUAGAUAUCGAGAGGAACACCGGUGGCGAAGGCGGCCAACUGGACGAGUACUGACGCUGAGACACGAAAGCGUGGGGAGCAAACAGGAUUAGAUACCCUGGUAGUCCACGCCGUAAACGAUGGGUGCUAGGUGUCACGGGCUUUGACUCCUGUGGUGCCGUAGCCAACGCAUUAAGCACCCGCCUGGGAAGUACGGCCGCAAGGCUAAA